UACGGAGGGGGCUAGCGUUGUUCGGAAUUACUGGGCGUAAAGCGCACGUAGGCGGAUUUGUAAGUCAGGGGUGAAAUCCCGGGGCUCAACCCCGGAACUGCCUUUGAUACUGCGAAUCUUGAGUCCGGAAGAGGUGAGUGGAAUUCCUAGUGUAGAGGUGAAAUUCGUAGAUAUUAGGAAGAACACCAGUGGCGAAGGCGGCUCACUGGUCCGGUACUGACGCUGAGGUGCGAAAGCGUGGGGAGCAAACAGG
This 253-nucleotide ribosomal RNA is filed under the name uncultured bacterium. RNAcentral's name for it is "partial 16S ribosomal RNA". It matches the Rfam family "Bacterial small subunit ribosomal RNA", at positions 524 to 776 of the family's 1533-position model. The record is from RNAcentral.